UUACCUUUAGCAGACAGCGACAGAGAGGGACAGAAAAGCAAGAGGAGAGACAAGUAAUAAAGGCGUUAUUUUCUUUUUUUACAAACUCAGGAUGCGCGGCGGGGAGCAGCUGUAGGGACAGGGGGAUCGAGGAGUGGACAGUCUUUAACAGGUCCGAAGCGCACUUUUCAACACCCCCGUCAUCCGACAAGAAUAUGAUCCGGUCAAAUCAUAUGGACAUGCCUCAUUAUUCAAUGAACACUAUCUCUCACAACGCAUCGUUUACGCGCAGGAGUUAGCCGGCGCUUCGCCAAAUUUAAAAGGCUCUUGUCGUCCCACCUUCUGUGGAGCUGUCGGCGCUCUUCCUGACAUCCGGCAUUCAUCGGAGCGGCGGCAGUCACACAGGGCUCCCUGAUCAGUGGCGACCAGAAGCGGAGCUGAAGCUGAGGUUGGCUUUACGGGGCUAAGCACACUGUCACGCUGUCCAAGAAAC
This is a non-coding RNA of Plectropomus leopardus (leopard coralgrouper), 472 nucleotides long. Lineage: Eukaryota; Metazoa; Chordata; Actinopteri; Perciformes; Serranidae. The record is from RefSeq and is a predicted model, not a curated record.